RNAcentral lists this ribosomal RNA (270 nucleotides) under uncultured archaeon. RNAcentral describes it as "partial 16S ribosomal RNA". It matches the Rfam family "Bacterial small subunit ribosomal RNA", at positions 527 to 796 of the family's 1533-position model. The record is from RNAcentral.
CGAGGGUGCAAACGUUGCUCGGAUUUACUGGGCGUAAAGCGCGUGUAGGCGGACUCGCAAGUCGGUUGUGAAAUCCCUGGGCUCAACCUAGGAACUGCAUCCGAAACUGCUUGUCUUGAGUAAUGGAGAGGGUGGCGGAAUUCCCGGUGUAGAGGUGAAAUUCGUAGAUAUCGGGAGGAACAUCAGUGGCGAAGGCGGCCACCUGGACAUUUACUGACGCUGAGACGCGAAAGCGUGGGGAGCAAACAGGAUUAGAUACCCGAGUAGUCC